CAAAGUCCUUGGACUAAAGAACAAAAUCAUUGCUGGACUGUAGGAUUUCUUCAGCCGCUCUUGUGAACCCUGCUAAGCUGCAUUAAGGUGUUUCGAACUGAAGUGAAUGGUGGACUGUAAUAUUCACACAGCCACUGGUGUGAACAUUUAAAACUGUACGAUGGAUUUAGUGGAAUAUUCACCUGAAAUAAAAAUUGCAAUCCUGGAAAUAAGAGCACAAAAUUCAUCCAUCCAUCCACUACCGCCAUAUGAAUAUUAGAAGUUAAGUGCUUUGAGAGAAACAGUUGGUGGUGGCUGUACCAUUAAACCAUUGCAUAAGAAGAGGACACAACGAGAUGUUAAAAGAGCUCUGGUCAAAGUUCAAACGAUGGAGAACCAUAUGGAAAACAUGGUGGAAUUAUGACAUUUCUGUUAGUAUCAUGUAUUAAUGUGAGGAAGGUUACAGCCUCCUUUGUUUUCAUUUGCCACUAUUUUUAUUAUUCUCGGAGGAACUUAAGCUUCAGUGGACAUUUACAUCACAUGUUUCAUGUACAUCAUGAUGUAUUCAGUAAGUCUGUUUCCAUAUUGCUACACCAACUUUUCCACCUCAGCUAAGCAUAAAAUCUAUUUUGCGAUAUUACAGUCUUUUCUUCUAUUACGGUAUUCUUUGAAUCUAAGUGUUUGCAGUUUUUUGUAAUCUCAGCAUCAGGUCCUCAGUGUGCGAUGUGUUCCAGCUGUGGAUGGUUCUGGUACUAUAGUAUUUUUUGUUAUGUAUAGUACUGGUGUAUUUUGUUAUUUGUAGAUUUUGCGCUCUUGCAAAUGGGUUGAAAAGGGUUUCCUCCAAAGUCCUUGGACUAAAGAACAAAAUCAGUGCUGGACUGUAGGCUUUCUUCAGCUGCUAUUGUGAACCCUUUUAAACUGCAUUGUUAUUGUGUGUUUAGGGGGUGAUAAAGCACAUUUAAUAUAAUGUGAAAUGCAGCUCUAGAAUAUGUUGCAAAGUAAAGAGCAAA
Sander lucioperca (pikeperch) is the source of this 989-nucleotide long non-coding RNA. RefSeq lists it as uncharacterized. The record is from RefSeq and is a predicted model, not a curated record. The transcript is spliced from 2 exons. Lineage: Eukaryota; Metazoa; Chordata; Actinopteri; Perciformes; Percidae.